CCUGGCGGCCGUAGCGCGGUGGUCCCAAUCUGACCCCAUGCCGAACUCUUCAGAAGUGAAAAACGCCGUAGCGCCGAUGGUAGUGUGGGGCUUCCCCAUGCGAAAGUAGGAACUGCUGUGC
RNAcentral lists this ribosomal RNA (121 nucleotides) under Salmonella enterica subsp. enterica. Lineage: Bacteria; Pseudomonadati; Pseudomonadota; Gammaproteobacteria; Enterobacterales; Enterobacteriaceae. The record is from RNAcentral.